CUUACACAUGCAGUCGAACGAUGAAGCCCAGCUUGCUGGGUGGAUUAGUGGCGAACGGGUGAGUAACACGUGAGUAACCUGCCCUUGACUCUGGGAUAAGCCCGGGAAACUGGGUCUAAUACCGGAUAGGAACGUCCACCGCAUGGUGGUUGUUGGAAAGAUUUAUCGGUCAUGGAUGGACUCGCGGCCUAUCAGCUUGUUGGUGAGGUAAUGGCUCACCAAGGCGACGACGGGUAGCCGGCCUGAGAGGGUGACCGGCCACACUGGGACUGAGACACGGCCCAGACUCCUACGGGAGGCAGCAGUGGGGAAUAUUGCACAAUGGGCGAAAGCCUGAUGCAGCGACGCCGCGUGAGGGAUGACGGCCUUCGGGUUGUAAACCUCUUUCAGUAGGGAAGAAGCGAAAGUGACGGUACCUGCAGAAGAAGCACCGGCUAACUACGUGCCAGCAGCCGCGGUAAUACGUAGGGUGCGAGCGUUAUCCGGAAUUAUUGGGCGUAAAGAGCUCGUAGGCGGUUUGUCGCGUCUGUCGUGAAAGUCCGGGGCUUAACCCCGGAUCUGCGGUGGGUACGGGCAGACUAGAGUGCAGUAGGGGAGACUGGAAUUCCUGGUGUAGCGGUGGAAUGCGCAGAUAUCAGGAGGAACACCGAUGGCGAAGGCAGGUCUCUGGGCUGUAACUGACGCUGAGGAGCGAAAGCAUGGGGAGCGAACAGGAUUAGAUACCCUGGUAGUCCAUGCCGUAAACGUUGGGCACUAGGUGUGGGGACCAUUCCACGGUUUCCGCGCCGCAGCUAACGCAUUAAGUGCCCCGCCUGGGGAGUACGGCCGCAAGGCUAAAACUCAAAGGAAUUGACGGGGGCCCGCACAAGCGGCGGAGCAUGCGGAUUAAUUCGAUGCAACGCGAAGAACCUUACCAAGGCUUGACAUGUUCUCGAUCGCCGUAGAGAUACGGUUUCCCCUUUGGGGCGGGAUCACAGGUGGUGCAUGGUUGUCGUCAGCUCGUGUCGUGAGAUGUUGGGUUAAGUCCCGCAACGAGCGCAACCCUCGUUC
This 1050-nucleotide ribosomal RNA is filed under the name Micrococcus endophyticus. RNAcentral describes it as "bacterial SSU rRNA". It matches the Rfam family "Bacterial small subunit ribosomal RNA", at positions 48 to 1110 of the family's 1533-position model. The record is from RNAcentral. Lineage: Bacteria; Bacillati; Actinomycetota; Actinomycetes; Micrococcales; Micrococcaceae.